Molecule: long non-coding RNA, 550 nt
Organism: Herpailurus yagouaroundi (jaguarundi)
Lineage: Eukaryota; Metazoa; Chordata; Mammalia; Carnivora; Felidae
Exons: 3
Source: RefSeq, a predicted model, not a curated record
GCCUGCCGCCCAGCUGGGGUCUGAGGUUUAGACUGUAACGGUGAUAUCCUCUCCUCGUUGAGCUCUUUAUCCCUUUCAAAGCAGUCUCUGCCACCGUCCUCUUCCUUCUGAAGCCUGUGAAGUCUUCUCACUUGCCAGAUGAGCUGGAAGGAAGUACUGAGAGGAACAUUACAGGUAUUAUAGAGGCUGUUUGCUCCCUCCCCCGAGUCCGUCCCUGGCCUCCACUUCCUGGAUAACGGCACUGUUGGGAGCUUAGUGUGAUCAGCACAGGGGUCCAGGGCUUGGGCUCUGGAGCCAAACUGCUAAGCGAGUCCUGCGGCCCAGCAUAACUUCCAAAGGGGCCGAGAAGUGUGAUCCGACCACACGCCAGAUGGCCGACCGGACCGUGGGAAUGCUUCUAAUGUGCUCCCAUUACGUAUGGUGUUUGCUGUAAGUUUCUAGUAGAUAACCCUUUAUCACGUUAAGAAAUGCGUUCCUAAGUUUGUUUAGAGUUUAAGUAAAGAGUGUGUUCUUAUCAUGAAUGAGAAUUAAAUUUUAUCAAACGACUUUA